UCAUAGAGAGAGCCUGCAGCCAUGUACACUACCAAGAGGUGCAUUGCCACGGCCAUCGUGGUGGUGCUCUGGCUCCAGGCCGCCGUGGACGCCCGCCGCCUCUCCCCCGGCGGCGUGAUCCGGCUUCCGAGCGAUGGCAGAGGUGAUUCUAUUGAUCAAGUCGGGUCGUCAAAGGUGAUCAGCAUAGAGGAUCCAUUCUAUACUUGCCCAGAUGGCAAGGUGCUGAAAUGCAAAGUCAUUGCGUUCCAAUGGUAUUUGCGAUUGUGUGCGUGAAAAAGGUGUUGGCCCCGACGACAGCUCCCCGGAGAUGACGUCGCCCAAGAAGUCGGACGACAAUGGUGAUUCAGUUAAUGAAACAUAUGCCACUAUUGUUAUUGUGGUCCUACCGAUCAAGUCCAAGUGACAAAGGGGCUCAACGAUCUAGGGGAGCCGUGGUGGCCGUGUCCGGACGGCACAGUACAGAAAUGUGAACUCGUUGCAUUCAAAAUAUACUGCAAGUGCGUGCCUAAAGACGGUGCAGGUCUCACCGAUCGAUCCAUGUCGGCGCCGGCGCACUCGGCGAGGAAGAAGGACGGUGACGAUGUCGCCGUGGGC
This is a long non-coding RNA of Triticum dicoccoides, 594 nucleotides long. RefSeq lists it as uncharacterized. The record is from RefSeq and is a predicted model, not a curated record. The transcript is spliced from 3 exons. NCBI's taxonomy places the organism in Eukaryota, Viridiplantae, Streptophyta, Magnoliopsida, Poales, Poaceae.